This 439-nucleotide ribosomal RNA is filed under the name uncultured bacterium. RNAcentral describes it as "bacterial SSU rRNA". It matches the Rfam family "Bacterial small subunit ribosomal RNA", at positions 355 to 786 of the family's 1533-position model. The record is from RNAcentral.
UAGGGAAUUUUCGUCAAUGGGGGAAGCCCUGAACGAGCAAUGCCGCGUGUGUGAAGAAGGUCUUCGGAUCGUAAAGCACUGUUGUAAGUGAAGAAUGCCAUAUAGAGGAAAUGCUAUGUGGGUGACGGUAGCUUACCAGAAAGCCACGGCUAACUACGUGCCAGCAGCCGCGGUAAUACGUAGGUGGCAAGCGUUAUCCGGAAUCAUUGGGCGUAAAGGGUGCGUAGGUGGCACGAUAAGUCUGAAGUAAAAGGCAACAGCUCAACUGUUGUAUGCUUUGGAAACUGUCGAGCUAGAGUGCAGAAGGAGGCGAUCGGAAUUCCAUGUGUAGCAGGUAAAUGCGUAGAUAUAUGGAGGAACACCAGUGGCGAAGGCGGUCGCCUGGUCUGUAACUGACACUGAUGCACGAAAGCGUGGGGAGCAAAUAGGAUUAGAUACC